Molecule: ribosomal RNA, 259 nt
Filed under: uncultured Burkholderiales bacterium
Lineage: Bacteria; Pseudomonadati; Pseudomonadota; Betaproteobacteria; Burkholderiales
Description: partial 16S ribosomal RNA
Rfam family: Bacterial small subunit ribosomal RNA
Source: RNAcentral
GGGUGCGAGCGUUAAUCGGAAUUACUGGGCGUAAAGCGUGCGCAGGCGGUUAUAUAAGACAGUUGCGAAAUCCCCGGGCUUAACCUGGGAAUGGCGCUUGUGACUGCACGACUGGAGUGCGGCAGAGGGGGAUGGAAUUCCGCGUGUAGCAGUGAAAUGCGUAGAUAUGCGGAGGAACACCGAUGGCGAAGGCAGUCCCCUGGGCCUGCACUGACGCUCAUGCACGAAAGCGUGGGGAGCAAACAGGAUUAGAUACCCU